Molecule: ribosomal RNA, 482 nt
Filed under: uncultured bacterium
Lineage: Bacteria
Description: partial 16S ribosomal RNA
Rfam family: Bacterial small subunit ribosomal RNA
Source: RNAcentral
AGUGAACGUUGGCGGCGUGGAUUAGGCAUGCAAGUCGAGCGAGAACCGUAGCAAUACGGGGACAGCGGCGAAAGGGACAGUAAUGUGUAGGUACCUACCUCCGGGUUCGGGAUAGCUGCGAGAAACUGCAGGUAAUACCGAAUAACGUCUCCGGACCACAGGUGUGAUUCCACCUGGAGAUGGGCCUGCAUCCUAUUAGCUUGUUGGCGGGGUAACGGCCCACCAAGGCGACGAUGGGUAGCGGGUGUGAGAGCACGACCCGCGUCAUUGGGACUGAGACACUGCCCAGACACCUACGGGUGGCUGUAGUCGUGAAUCUUCGGCAAUGGGCGCAAGCCUGACCGAGCGACGCCGCGUGCGGGAUGAAGGCCUUCGGGUUGUAAACCGCCGUCGUAGAGGAGGAAAUGCAGGGGGGUUCUCCCCUCUGUUUGACCUAUUCUAGGAGGAAGUACGGGCUAAGUUCGUGCCAGCCGCCGCAGUAA